UGGCUCGGUUGGUAGAGCAUGGUGUUUGCAACGCCAGGGUUGUGGGUUCGAUUCCCAC
Molecule: non-coding RNA, 58 nt
Organism: Salmo salar (Atlantic salmon)
Lineage: Eukaryota; Metazoa; Chordata; Actinopteri; Salmoniformes; Salmonidae
Source: Rfam